GGGAGUCAGACCAGAGCGUUUUGUGCAGCAGCACAUAAGCGGAGGAAGGAUUCGACGAAGGAUUCAUCAGCAACGCAAAGCAAGCGUAGUGGUGGACAAGCCAAGGAGAUUUGUCCCCUCAUUUGAAAUGAAGAGAGCAGUCCACUGUGCAGGCAACCCUGCAGGGAAUGGAUGCAAUCCUAGAACCAGAGAGGUAGCUCCAGAAUAAACAGGCUGAUGGAUGCAGGCAAAUGAGGGUUCAAUGGUCAAGGUGAUAUGGCUACAUUUCUCUAUUAAUUUUCUUCAGUCUUGCUCCUGCAAUCACCAACAAGUGUUCUUGACAUUUAUCCUGCAGUUCCUGGCAGCAGCCACUUCCUCAACAAAGGACUUCAUAUUUGUUUUUCCUUCCCAAAAUUUAAGGGAAAAUGUAUUGUUCAGCACAGUAUUAUUACAUCUCUAUAUACAAUCAUUUUAACUUCUGUUUCAUAGAUAGCAGAGUUAAUUCUAUUUCCCCUUUCCCUGUAUAAGUUAUAUGUCAAGUGCAUAGCUGGGGAAAGUCAUUAGAAGCAUUUCCAAGUUCUGUAUUUACCAAGAGAUUGUAUUUGUCUAUGUGAACCAUUCCUCAACAUUGAAAAGAAUGAGUCAACCUCUACUUGUAUAGAAUCACAUGUGCGCUUAUACUGGAGCCCGUAUACUGAGAUGACUCCAUUAAGGUGAACUGAACUGUAAUGUUUGGGUGAGGAAAAUAUAUCUGAUCUGAUUUGAAUACAGGUUUUGUGCUAUUCCUGCCUGAAAUAUUGCCCCCAUUUUCUUAUACCUGUCACCGCUGGUUUUGAGGCUUUCAUAUGCAGCUACCAGAUCAAGUUAUUACCAUACUAAAUGAUGGUGAUGAGAUCCAUGACAUAGAAAUCAAGUUAUCUUAAACGGAUAGCACUGAAUGAUCAAUUUCAAGGUAUGUUAGAACUUGGACCUAAAGUCUAUUUUGCAACUGUUCUUUGCUUCAGAAAGAUGGCUGCUAUGCAUGUUUCAGGAGAUUAAGGAUCUAUGGAAAUUGUAUACCCCUGAGAUUCACAGUUUAGUAAGAUGUAUUUAUACAAAUAAUUCUACCUUUUGGAUAAGGAUGUUCUAUGGUUGUUUUAGUGAACAAAGAUCCAGAACCUUAAAAAAAAACUUUGAAGCUAGCUCAUUCUUUUCCAUAUCAUGAAGUUAAUCUACCUUCAUAGUUAACAGAUUUUGGUUACCCAUCAUCUACCUGCUUGUCAGAAAAUCCUAAACUAAGUUUCAGCCAUCUCUAUGAAGAAUCAUUUCAUGAAAGAAAAAACAUUUUCUCUCAAAGAUGUGACCGUUUUUGGCAGGUGUUGCAACUAAUUACCAGAAAUAAUGAGGUACUGUCAAGGGUGAAUAUGAUAUAAUAGAAUGGCAUGAAUUAACUGAUAAAAGAUCAGGGCCAUGAUGACAAAAGAUGGCUGGUUCCAGAAACUUUUUGUUUGUAAACCAAAAAGGGAUGUUUAUGUCUUCCCAAUAUGAUUGGAUAAUUGUUGUUUCUGAGGGGAGAAGAAAUGGCUCAAGGGCUGGUUCAGGUACUGCAGAUUGGUAUUCAGGUACUGCACAAUGAAAAGGGGACUAGGAGGUGUGUUCUGUCGUUGACUGGGCAAAGUCAUUUUGUGUAGAUUACACUUAUAGGAGAGUUUAAGAAAUGAAAUAUUUGUCAUAGAAUUUUUUUUGUUAAUGUGUCUGCAAAGGGGAAGUGAAAGAACUGUUUUAAAUUUGUAGGAUUUCAAUCUCAAACCUUAUUCAUUUUAUUGACUAAUUAUCAUAUAUAGUAAACUUGAAACAGUACAUUAUUUCGAAUCUGAGAAAGAUCUCGUGCUUCUUGAGCAUGAUGUCAUUUUUGAAUUAUUGAUGUGAUUACUGAGUGUUAAA
Molecule: long non-coding RNA, 1902 nt
Organism: Hemicordylus capensis (graceful crag lizard)
Lineage: Eukaryota; Metazoa; Chordata; Lepidosauria; Squamata; Cordylidae
Exons: 3
Source: RefSeq, a predicted model, not a curated record